This 1198-nucleotide long non-coding RNA is filed under the name Homo sapiens (human). RNAcentral's name for it is "non-protein coding lnc-OLIG1-2:4". The record is from RNAcentral. Lineage: Eukaryota; Metazoa; Chordata; Mammalia; Primates; Hominidae.
GUGUGGUGACAUGCACCUGUAGUCCCAGCUACUCAGGAGGCUGAGGUGAAAGAAGGGUCUUAUCGAAUUCAGCCUUUGUCCUGCUGCCAUUUGUCAUGGGAAAUCUUUCCAGGGACUGGCACUCUGACUUGGUUGGAAAGCCAAGGGUAUUGAGCCCACAUCAAUAGAAGGAAGGUUUGCAAGCCAAGUCUACACCUGCCCUCUGCCGUGCCCAACAGAGGGGAGACAGUCUGGGGAUUAUUUACCCCUGGAACUUUUGCUGCAAUAAAUAAAGCAAUGCUGGAGGCUUGAAGGAGUUUAAAGACUAACAGGGGAGAUAAUAAUUGUUACUAUGCACCAGGCAGGGUUCUAAGUCCUUUGCAUAAAUUAACCCACUUAAGCCUCCCAACAGCUCCCUGAGGUUGGAUACUAUUAGCCCAUUUUUACAGGUGGGUAAACUGAGGUACGGGGGGUUAAAUAAUUUGCCUAAGAUCAUACUACAGGGAAGCAGUAGAGAGGAGACUCGAACCCCUGAAAACACAAAGAGCAGCCCUGGGCCCUCGGCAAAGACGACGCUUCCUAUCCCGGGGACAGAGGGAGACAAGUCCAGGCAUCCCAGAGAGCAGGAAUCCCAGAGCAAAGGCCAGGAGUGGGACCACAGGCAGAGUAAGGGGCCCAGGUGGCUGGUGCACCCGCCUGAGGAUCGGAUGUCUCUCUGGGGCAUUGUGUCUACUUAAAGCGCUUGGCUCAGGUUUUCCAUCAGGCCCAGAAGAGCCAUUUUGGGGCAGCACAGAGACCUCAGAGGAAUGAGCUCAACUGAGCGGCUGUAGUUUGCAAAAGCUGCCGACCAGACAAGCUUCACCCUUCAGACCAAAAAGAAAAAUCCCCUCUGGAGCCUGAAUUGUUCGGCAAAAAAGAUAAACGUAGAAGCCAGUCCCAGAUCUUAGAGCACCUCAAUGGGACAUGUGGAUCAUUUUCUGUAGUUAACAAGGAACCCUUAAAAGAAUAAGCCAUUCUUGUUACGGCUUUUGAAUUGUGAUGGCUUUUGCCUGCAAUAUCUGUAUGUUUAUGGCAAAAUCAUUAUUUUGAGAUGAACUAUCUGGAUAACUGUCGGAGAGAAACUGCAGGCUGCAUUUCACCACUGAUGCUCUGUUUUAUGCAUGUGUUGCAUGUAUUCCCACCAGUUGGUGGUAAACUUUUGCAUUUUUCAAGCCUGUCA